CGAUGGCGGGCGGGCUGGGGCCGUGGCUGCUGGCCUUGGCCUUGGGGCCGGCGGGAGUGUGUGCACAGUGGAGACUGGAAGCAUCUGGCGGAGGUGUGCGAGCACCUGGGGAGUCCGUGCAGCUCUCCUGCCAGGGAUCCGGCUUCAGCUUUGGAAAUUACCAUGUUCUGUGGUACCGUCAGGCACUCGGUGGUCAUCUCAAGUGGCUAUCCUACAUCACAACAGGCUCAUAUAUUGAAUCCAGCCCAGAGUUGGAGGGUCGAUCCUCAGUCACUCGAGACAAUUCCCGCUCUGUGUCCUUUCUGUCUCUCCGUGCCCUGCGCCCACACGACUCAGCGCGCUACUUCUGUGCUGUUCACACGGGAACAGGAAAUCCUGCAGAGCUGUAACAAAAAUCCCCUUCUUAGACACAGCCUUGGCUGCAGAACCACAGAGCUGGCAGGAGCUGGAGCAUCUCUGGGCUUCUGGACAGUGAGGGAAUUUCACUGCACACCACAGAUGACCCUGUCCUUUCUGCCAGGUCUCCCAUGACUUCUGAGUCACAAAAGCAGUGUUGUGACCUGAGGAUUAUAUUCACAGUAUUUCUGGUCACCCUUUCAGCUCGGCCACUUUACCUGCCUUCCUACCUGCAGCAUGUCUGCACCUGCUUUUGAUUUCCUUCUUUUCUUGGGUACUCAAAAGCACUUGGGCACUUCUAGCAACAGCAUUGCCUGCUUUCAUCACCGGUGGAUGGCUUUUUCCAUGUUUCUCUGUGAGCAAAGCAGUGGCUGAAUAGAUCUGAUGUGUCUUCAGAGUGAUGGCAUUUCAGAGUGAUGGAAUGCAAGGUCUGUAGCCUUGCAGCAAGCAGGGCAAUCUGAGACCCUUCAAAUUACAUAGGUUACACUGAAAACGAUACCUGCCAUGUGAUUCCAUAGAAGC
This is a non-coding RNA of Tympanuchus pallidicinctus (lesser prairie-chicken), 918 nucleotides long. NCBI's taxonomy places the organism in Eukaryota, Metazoa, Chordata, Aves, Galliformes, Phasianidae. The record is from the annotation of a RefSeq genome assembly.